This 151-nucleotide non-coding RNA is filed under the name Vagococcus fluvialis. RNAcentral describes it as "GlcN6P sequence". It matches the Rfam family "glmS glucosamine-6-phosphate activated ribozyme aptamer". Rfam says of the family: This entry contains a glucosamine-6-phosphate activated ribozyme that is found in the mRNA for GlmS. GlmS is an enzyme that uses fructose-6-phosphate and glutamine to generate glucosamine-6-phosphate. The record is from RNAcentral. Lineage: Bacteria; Bacillati; Bacillota; Bacilli; Lactobacillales; Enterococcaceae.
AUUAAUUGGAUAGCGCCAGACCUGCUUUAGACAGGUGACGAGGAAGAACUUAUCGAAGAUUUCGGCGGGUAGUUCUAGGAAACUGCAUCCUAAAGAUGAACAGUAAAAUUAGGCAGUAAUGUCUUUGACAAAGUGUUGAUCACGCAGAGCA